UACGUAGGGUGCAAGCGUUGUCCGGAAUUAUUGGGCGUAAAGAGCUCGUAGGCGGUCUGUCGCGUCGGCUGUGAAAACCCGGAGCUCAACUCCGGGCCUGCAUUCGAUACGGGCAGACUAGAGUAUGGCAGGGGAGACUGGAAUUCCUGGUGUAGCGGUGAAAUGCGCAGAUAUCAGGAGGAACACCGGUGGCGAAGGCGGGUCUCUGGGCCAAAACUGACGCUGAGGAGCGAAAGCGUGGGGAGCGAACAGG
RNAcentral lists this ribosomal RNA (253 nucleotides) under uncultured bacterium. Its description in RNAcentral is "partial 16S ribosomal RNA". It matches the Rfam family "Bacterial small subunit ribosomal RNA", at positions 524 to 776 of the family's 1533-position model. The record is from RNAcentral.